UAGUCAAUGCUCGCAAGAGUGAACUAGCUAACUGAAAUCAUAGAAUUUCUUCAAAUUCGUGAUGUCGUAAGGGAAAAUAAUGAUAAUACCUUACUAUGAGUGUCGUCCAAAUCUGGUGCCAGAAGACUCGGUAAGACCAGAGACGCAAACGUUAAUCAUCAUAAUCAGGCGUAAAGGGUUUGUAGGCAGCUUAAAAAAAAUUUAAGCUAGAAUCUAACAGAGGUUAUAGUGUAUAACGCCUAGAGGAGGGCUAAUAUCCAUAGAUCCUAGGCAGAAUACUAAAGGCGAAGGCCACUCUCCACUAAAGAUUGACGCUGAGAAACGAAGGUUAGGAUAGGAAAAAGGAUUAGAUACCCUGUUACCCCUUUCUGUAAACGAUGAAUGGUAGUUUUUAGUACAUAAUUAGAGACGAAGUUAACACAAUAACCAUUCCGCCUUGUGAGUACUACUGCAAAGUAGAAAACAAAAAAAUUAGUCGGUCUCGAAGCAAACGGAGUGAAGCAUGUUAUUUAAU
This 514-nucleotide ribosomal RNA is filed under the name Picipes sp. ZJL-20161. RNAcentral's name for it is "partial small subunit ribosomal RNA". It matches the Rfam family "Bacterial small subunit ribosomal RNA", at positions 365 to 950 of the family's 1533-position model. Lineage: Eukaryota; Fungi; Basidiomycota; Agaricomycetes; Polyporales; Polyporaceae. The record is from RNAcentral.